AGAGUUUGAUCCUGGCUCAGGACGAACGCUGGCGGCGUGCUUAACACAUGCAAGUCGAACGAUGAAGCCGCAGCUUGCUGUGGUGGAUUAGUGGCGAACGGGCGAGUAACACGUGAGUAACCUGUCCUUUUCUUUGGGAUAACGGCUGGAAACGGCUGCUAAUACUGGAUAUUCAGGCUGCAUCGCAUGGUGUGGUUUGGAAAGGUUUUUUCUGGGAUUGGGUGGGCUCGCGGCCUAUCAGCUUGUUGGUGGGGUGAUGGCUUACCAAGGCUUUGACGGGUAGCCGGCCUGAGAGGGUGGUCGGUCGCACUGGGACUGAGAUACGGCCCAGACUCCUACGGGAGGCAGCAGUGGGGAAUAUUGCACAAUGGACGAAAGUUUGAUGCAGCGACGCCGCGUGGAGGGUGUAGGCCUUCGGGUUGUGAACUCCUUUUUCUCGCGAAAAAGGCACAGUUUUGGCUGUGUUGAUGGUAGUGGGGGAAGAAGCGCCGGCUAACUACGUGCCAGCAGCCGCGGUAAUACGUAGGGCGCGAGCGUUGUCCGGAUUUAUUGGGCGUAAAGAGCUCGUAGGUGGUUCGUCGCGUCUGUCGUGAAAGCCAGCAGCUUAACUGUUGGUCUGCGGUGGGUACGGGCGGGCUUGAGUGCGGUAGGGGUGACUGGAAUUCCUGGUGUAGCGGUGGAAUGCGCAGAUAUCAGGAGGAACACCGAUGGCGAAGGCAGGUCACUGGGCCGUUACUGACACUGAGGAGCGAAAGCGUGGGGAGCGAACAGGAUUAGAUACCCUGGUAGUCCACGCUGUAAACGUUGGGAACUAGGUGUGGGGAUGCUAUCCUGUGUUUCUGCGCCGUAGCUAACGCAUUAAGUUCCCCGCCUGGGGAGUACGGUCGCAAGGCUAAAACUCAAAGGAAUUGACGGGGGCCCGCACAAGCGGCGGAGCAUGCGGAUUAAUUCGAU
RNAcentral lists this ribosomal RNA (954 nucleotides) under human vaginal metagenome. Its description in RNAcentral is "bacterial SSU rRNA". It matches the Rfam family "Bacterial small subunit ribosomal RNA", at positions 8 to 955 of the family's 1533-position model. The record is from RNAcentral.